CGCUAUUUGCUCGACGCCAGGUAACAAGCGUUAGCCAAAAAAUUAAUUUCCGUAUUUUUUCGACGCUUUUAAGCGUCACCAUUGGAAUCGACACAUAAAAGCGUCGAAAAAAAGACAUGUGAUAUUGCACGUGACUAUAGUCCAUCCCGGGACUUCAAAAUUUCAGGAAAAAAAAGCGGGCUAAUUAAACAAAAAGAAAACCGCUCAUACAUACAGCAAAAGUUAGACUGAAGAAAUAAAAAAAAAACCCUUUAGCUCCCCAUUAUCGAAACGAACCCUAACUCUUCUUUGCUUGUUCACAAUCGCUCUCAUCUUAUCUCUUAAACCAAUUGAAAUUAUUGAAUUUUCGUUGCUCUCUUCAAUAUUAUCUUCAAUUUUCGAGAAGUCAAGAAUAUAUAUCACAGGUGACAGAGGAGGAGCUUAUCUAAAAAUUGUUCUAAUUGUGAUAGUUGCUGCACUUAGUGAGUUCGAGGUUAUGAAUGCAACAGGAGGACAAGGAAAAUCUACUAAAGAUGGAAAUUAGCCUACUAAGCACCUUCUUUUUUUUUAAUAGUUAGUAAUAUAUAUAUAUAUAUAUAUA
This is a long non-coding RNA of Chenopodium quinoa (quinoa), 580 nucleotides long. RefSeq lists it as uncharacterized. NCBI's taxonomy places the organism in Eukaryota, Viridiplantae, Streptophyta, Magnoliopsida, Caryophyllales, Amaranthaceae. The record is from RefSeq and is a predicted model, not a curated record. The transcript has 4 exons.